RNAcentral lists this long non-coding RNA (729 nucleotides) under Capsella rubella. RNAcentral's name for it is "long non-coding RNA (CRUB_LNC000657)". Lineage: Eukaryota; Viridiplantae; Streptophyta; Magnoliopsida; Brassicales; Brassicaceae. The record is from RNAcentral.
AACACCAAUAGGGACUGACGUUUCUUUAUAAUUAACUGUAACUUCCCUGGAUCAACAAGGUUUCUAGGUGACUCCUCUAUUGGUUCAGUUGCUUGGAUGUAACCAUCCAUGUACUCUCGCUGUCGGUGACGUCGGGUGCGUUCACGUGAUCUCCUUCUCCCCACCACUAUAUCAUCAGACUCCUGCGAUGCAUCAUAUUCAGAGGUAGAACCCUUUUUCCUAACCAUUCCCACUGUCGUCUGCAUUUGCCGAAAUAACAAUAGUUGAGAUCUAACUCUUGAUUCAAGCACGGAAGAUCAAAGUCGUUUACCAUGCUUCUUCAUGGUGACUUGUGUUGCCGAUACCCUCUCGUGGCGAUUUUUCCGCGUUAACUUCCUCCUUGUCUUAUGAUAACUACGUGUAACCAGGGUAUCUUCUACCCUUUGAGCGUGGCCUACGCUUGGAAGCUCAAAAACCCAAGGAUUGAAAGAAGCUUCAGGAGUUGGAGUGCUCACCAUAUGUUCGACAGAAUUCCUAAGAGAAUUUUCAGUGAUCGCUUGAGGUGUCAUGUCUGGUCUCGCGGUGUUGAUCUGCUUUGGUGUAAGACCUGGUGGUGUAGGAUCGGACCUCUUUCCCGGAGAAAACAUGGGUGAACCGCGCGUUGAGACUGCUAACGGCGGCAAGGUUAAGAUCCCGUCACUUGUAGCCUCGAUUGGAGCCGCAUGUUUGCCACAGAUCUCUGGAUUCAAG